Molecule: ribosomal RNA, 320 nt
Filed under: Rhipicephalus warburtoni
Lineage: Eukaryota; Metazoa; Arthropoda; Arachnida; Ixodida; Ixodidae
Description: partial small subunit ribosomal RNA
Source: RNAcentral
CUUGUAGUAAUAGUAAUUAUGAAGCAUAAAGUUAUGGCGGUAUUUUAAGCUUUUCAGAGGAAUUUGCUCUUUAAUGGAUAAAACACCUAAAUCUUACUUAAAUUAGUUAAGUCAAUUUGUAUACCACUAUAAAAUUAAUUAUUAACUUUAAUUAAUAAAAUUUAUAAAGUAUUAAAAUAAAUUAAGUCAAGGUGCAGUAAAAAUUUAAGUAUGAAGUGAAUUACAUUUCUUUUAAGAGAUUAACGCAUUAAAAUCAAAUUAGGAUUUGAAAGUAAAUUUAAAAUAGUAUGUUAAUUUGAAUAAAGCUCUAAAAUAUGUAC